This 443-nucleotide ribosomal RNA is filed under the name uncultured bacterium. RNAcentral describes it as "partial 16S ribosomal RNA". It matches the Rfam family "Bacterial small subunit ribosomal RNA", at positions 338 to 795 of the family's 1533-position model. The record is from RNAcentral.
CCUACGGGUGGCAGCAGUCGAGAAUAUUUGACAAUGGGCGCAAGCCUGACGCUGCAACGCCGCGUGAAGGAAUGAAGCUUUCGGGUUUGUAACUUCUUUUCACGUGGGCGAAGCCAGUAACGGUACCUGCGGAAUAAGCAAAGGCUAACUACGUGCCAGCAGCCGCGGUAAUACGUAGGUGGCAAGAAGUAUCCGGAUGUACUGGGUGGAAAGGGCUUGUAGGCGGGACUGCAAGUCAGAUUUGAAAACCACGGGCUCCAACUGUGGCAUGCAUUUGAAAAUGUAGUUCUUGAGUACUGGAGAGGCAGACGGAAUUCCUAGUGUAGCGGGGAAAAGCGUAGAUAUUAGGAGGAACACCAGGGGCGAAGGCGGGCUGCUGGACAGUAACUGAAGCCGAGGCGCGAAAGCGUGGGGAGCAAACAGGAUUAGAAACCCGGGUAGUU